UACGGAGGGUGCAAGCGUUGUCCGGAUUCACUGGGUUUAAAGGGUGCGUAGGUGGGCAGGUAAGUCAGUGGUGAAAUCUCCGGGCUUAACUCGGAAACUGCCAUUGAUACUAUCUGUCUUGAAUACCGUGGAGGUUAGCGGAAUAUGUCAUGUAGCGGUGAAAUGCUUAGAUAUGACAUAGAACACCAAUUGCGAAGGCAGCUGGCUACACGAAUAUUGACACUGAUGCACGAAAGCGUGGGGAUCAAACAGG
RNAcentral lists this ribosomal RNA (253 nucleotides) under uncultured bacterium. RNAcentral's name for it is "partial 16S ribosomal RNA". It matches the Rfam family "Bacterial small subunit ribosomal RNA", at positions 524 to 776 of the family's 1533-position model. The record is from RNAcentral.